This 981-nucleotide ribosomal RNA is filed under the name Triticum aestivum (bread wheat). RNAcentral describes it as "partial small subunit ribosomal RNA". The record is from RNAcentral. Lineage: Eukaryota; Viridiplantae; Streptophyta; Magnoliopsida; Poales; Poaceae.
AUGGUAGCAUCAGAAAUAGCUGCCGUUUUCUUUCUGUUCAAUGCCUUGUUGAGAGGUUCUUUGGUUCAAAGCCAAGGGCUGCAGAGAGGAUUCUACGACUCCAGCUGCCCUGAUGCAGAGGAUAUCGUGAGGUCUACUGUCGAGAAGUACUACAACAACGACGCCACCAUUGCCCCGGGCUUGCUCAGGCUGCACUUCCAUGACUGUUUUGUCCAAGGGUGUGAUGCUUCUGUUCUGAUUUCUGGAGCAUCAUCCGAGAGGAGUGCGCCACAGAACUUCGGUCUCAGGGGAUUCGAGGUGAUAGACGACGCCAAGUCCCAGCUGGAAUCAACGUGCCCUGGGGCGGUGUCCUGCGCCGACAUACUGGCCCUGGCCGCACGUGAUUCCGUGGAUCUGACCGGCGGGCCAAGCUGGCCAGUGCCUCUGGGACGAAGAGACGGGAGGAUCUCAUCAGCCGCAGACGCCAAGGCCCUGCCGUCUCCGGCCGACCCCGUGUCCGUCCAGCGGCAAAAGUUCGCAGACCAGGGCCUGUCCGACCACGAUCUCGUCACACUAGUCGGCGCGCACACGAUCGGGCAGACGGACUGCGCGUUCGUGCGGUACCGGCUGUACAACUUCACGGCGACGGGGAACGCGGACCCGUCGAUCAGCCCGGCGUUCCUGCCGCAGCUGCGGGCGCUGUGCCCGCCGAACGGAGACCCGGCGCGGCGGGUGGCGCUGGACAGGGACGGCGCGGGGGCCUUCGACGCGGCCUUCUUCAAGAACGUGAGGGACGGCAACGCCGCGCUGGAGUCGGACCAGCGGCUGUGGGGCGACGACGCCACGCAGGGGGUGGUGCAGAAGUACGCCGGCAACAUCCGGGGGCUCUUCGGGCUGCGCUUCACCUACGAGUUCCCCAAGGCCAUGGUCAGCCUGGGCGGCGUCGCCGUCAAGACGGGGAGGCAGGGCGAGAUCAGGAGGAAGUGCUCCAGGUUCAACUGA